RNAcentral lists this ribosomal RNA (459 nucleotides) under uncultured bacterium. Its description in RNAcentral is "partial 16S ribosomal RNA". It matches the Rfam family "Bacterial small subunit ribosomal RNA", at positions 338 to 795 of the family's 1533-position model. The record is from RNAcentral.
CCUACGGGAGGCAGCAGUGAGGAAUAUUGGUCAAUGGCCGAGAGGCUGAACCAGCCAAGUCGCGUGCGGGAAGACGGCCCUACGGGUUGUAAACCUCUUUUGUCGGGGAGCAAAGAGAGUCACGUGUGACUCAUUGAGAGUACCCGAAGAAAAAGCAUCGGCUAACUCCGUGCCAGCAGCCGCGGUAAUACGGAGGAUGCGAGCGUUAUCCGGAUUUAUUGGGUUUAAGGGGUGCGCAGGCGGAGGUGCAAGUCAGCGGUCAAAUUGCGGGGCUCAACCCCGUACUGCCGUUGAAACUGCAGCCCUUGAGUGCGCGAGAAGUAUGCGGAAUGCGUGGUGUAGCGGUGAAAUGCAUAGAUAUCACGCAGAACUCCGAUUGCGAAGGCAGCAUACCGGCGCGCAACUGACGCUCAUGCACGAAAGCGUGGGUAUCGAACAGGAUUAGAUACCCGAGUAGUC